CGCUGGCGGCGUGCCUAAUACAUGCAAGUCGAACGGUCUUUCUAUGGAAGCUUGCUUCCACUGAGAAGAUAGUGGCGAACGGGUGAGUAACACGUGGGUAACCUGCCCAUAAGAGGGGGAUAACAUCCGGAAACGGGUGCUAAUACCGCAUAGUUUUCUUGAUCGCAUGAUUGAGAAAGGAAAGACGGCCUUUGUGCUGUCGCUUAUGGAUGGACCCGCGGCGUAUUAGUUAGUUGGUGAGGUAAUGGCUCACCAAGACGAUGAUACGUAGCCGACCUGAGAGGGUGAUCGGCCACAUUGGGACUGAGACACGGCCCAAACUCCUACGGGAGGCAGCAGUAGGGAAUCUUCCGCAAUGGACGAAAGUCUGACGGAGCAACGCCGCGUGAGUGAAGAAGGUUUUUCGGAUCGUAAAACUCUGUUGUCAGAGAAGAACAAGUUGGAGAGUAACUGCUCCAGCCUUGACGGUAUCUGACCAGAAAGCCACGGCUAACUACGUGCCAGCCGCAGC
Molecule: ribosomal RNA, 511 nt
Filed under: uncultured bacterium
Lineage: Bacteria
Description: bacterial SSU rRNA
Rfam family: Bacterial small subunit ribosomal RNA
Source: RNAcentral